RNAcentral lists this unclassified non-coding RNA (2585 nucleotides) under Hevea brasiliensis (rubber tree). Lineage: Eukaryota; Viridiplantae; Streptophyta; Magnoliopsida; Malpighiales; Euphorbiaceae. The record is from RNAcentral.
AGCUGUGUCUGCUCCUAGUUCUUUAGGGAGGACAGUUUGCGUUAGCUAUGCCAGUGGCAUUGUUGCAGUUGAGAAAGAUGUUGUGGACCCUUCAACUCCAAUUUCAGACCAGAUUAUGAAAGCAGGUAUUGCAGCAGUUAGUUUUCUAUCUGAUUUGGUAAACUACAAAAUUCCUAUAUCUGAUGGAAGUGGAAUUAACACACCUAAAAACUGCAUGGUUGACCCCACUAGGCCACAUUCCACUCUAAAAUCUUCGAAUGUGAAACCCAUCAAGAGAGAGAACUUUUCUAAAGUUCAUCCAAAACCAUCUCCAGAGGCAGUAGUCCAGUCCAAUAUUAGUAACCAUAACAUUUCAAAGGAUAAAGGUGACAAAUCAAGUUUUAUCGGAAAUUCCAAACAUGUUUCAAAAACUACUUGUGGUAGUUUAGUGGAAACACAGAGCAUUGCUUUGGGUGCAUGUGAUAAAAGGAGAAAUAAGCCUCAGAGACCAAAAGCCCAAUCAAAUCAGUUCAUGAAAAAUUUUAAUGCCAAUGUACAGGCUCCAGAUGCAAAGAUUGUGGAGCACUUCUGUGAAGAUCACAGAACAUUCUCAAAAGAUGCUAAAAUUACAGCUGUAAUGGCUACAAAUACCAGACAGUUUGCAAGCAGCAGGCACAUAGUGGAAAAUGUUUCUCAGAUACUCAGACAACUAAGGUGGGGACCUGCAACAGAGAAGGCUCUUGGAAAUCUUAAUUAUUCAAUUCAAUGGAUGCAUAUAAAGCAAACCAAGUCCUUAAGCAGCUUCAAGAUCAUACAGUUGCUCUUGGAUUUUUCUAUUGGUUAAAACAGCAACCUGGGUUCAAGCAUGAUGACCAUACUUACACAACCAUGGUUGGCAUCCUUGGCCGUGCAAAGCAGUUUCGUGCAAUUAAUAAAUUGCUUGAUCAGAUGGUCAAAGAUGGAUGCCAACCUAAUGUUGUAACUUAUAACCGUCUUAUUCACAGUUAUGGUCGCGCAAACUACCUGAAUGAAGCAGUUAAUGUUUUUAAUCAAAUGCAGAAGGCAGGGUGCAAACCUGAUCGUGUUACAUACUGCACACUCAUUGACAUUCAUGCGAAAGCUGGGUUUCUUGAUUUUGCUAUGGAGAUGUACCAAAGGAUGCAAGCUGCUGGCCUUUCUCCAGAUACAUUCACUUAUAGUGUUAUGAUAAACUGCCUUGGAAAAGCUGGCCAUUUAGCUGCUUCCCACAAGCUAUUUUGUGAGAUGGUUGAACAAGGAUGUGUUCCUAAUUUAGUCACUUAUAAUAUCAUUAUUGCUUUGCAAGCCAAGGCAAGGAAUUACCAGAGUGCAUUAAAGCUUUACCGUGACAUGCAGAGUGCUGGAUUUGAACCUGACAAAGUAACUUAUAGUAUAGUUAUGGAGGUGCUUGGACACUGUGGUUAUCUUGAUGAAGCAGAAGCAGUUUUUUCUGAGAUGAAAAGAAAGAAUUGGGUGCCUGAUGAGCCUGUCUAUGGCCUUCUGGUCGACUUGUGGGGAAAGGCUGGUAAUGUUGAAAAGGCUUGGGAAUGGUAUCAGACCAUGCUCCAUACUGGCUUGCGCCCAAAUGUGCCCACUUGCAAUUCCCUUCUUAGUGCAUUCCUACGCGUGCACAGGCUUGCAGAAGCUUAUAACUUGUUGCAGAGCAUGUUGAAUUUGGGUCUAAGCCCUUCUUUGCAGGCAUAUACAUUGCUCCUUAGUUGUUGUACAGGGGCACACUCACCAUAUGAUAUGGGGAUAUAUUGUGAGCUCAUGGCAGUCACAGGCCACCCUGCACAUGUGUUUCUGUUGUCUUUGCCAUCAGCCGGACCUGAUGGUCAAAAUGUGCGGGAUCAUGCAAGCAAGUUCUUGGAUCUGAUGCAUAGUGAAGAUAGAGAGAGCAAAAGGGGACUAAUAGAUGCGGUAGUUGAUUUCCUUCACAAGUCAGGGCUCAAGGAGGAGGCUGGCUCAGUUUGGGAGGUAGCUGCACAGAAGAAUGUGUAUCCUGAUGCUGUUAAAGAGAAGAGUUCUUGCUAUUGGCUUAUCAACCUGCAUGUUAUGUCUGAUGGUACUGCUGUGACAGCAUUGUCACGGACGCUUGCUUGGCUUCGCCGUCAGAUGCUAGUCUCAGGGAUUAGUCCUAGUCGUAUUGAUAUAGUGACUGGAUGGGGCCGACGGAGCAGGGUUACGGGAUCUUCCUUGGUGAGGCAGGCAGUACAAGAAUUGCUGCAUAUUUUCAGCUUUCCCCUUUACACUGAAAAUGGCAAUUCUGGGUGUUUUGUUGGGUGUGGGGAGCCUCUUAGCAGGUGGUUGCUCCAAUCUUAUGUGGAGCGGAUGCAUUUACUGUAAGCAGCUGAUAUUUUAUUUUCGUUGUUGCUUAUGCACAUUUUUGUUGCAGUCUCAUGUGCAUAAUUCUGUAUUUAUGUGUUUCAAGUUACAAGAUACCUUCUUGCUGAUUUUUGAUAGUUUUGCAUUCUGCCGUAGCUCUUGGCUUUUUAGAAACAUUGACUUAUUGUUCUAGUUAUAUUGUGUGCAAGUUCAAUCAUCUAGCUAGUUUUUUUGAGGCCAAAAAAAAAAAAAAAAAAAAAAAA